RNAcentral lists this ribosomal RNA (490 nucleotides) under uncultured bacterium. RNAcentral describes it as "partial 16S ribosomal RNA". It matches the Rfam family "Bacterial small subunit ribosomal RNA", at positions 30 to 507 of the family's 1533-position model. The record is from RNAcentral.
AUUGAACGCUGGCGGCAGGCCUAACACAUGCAAGUCGAAUGGUAACAGGAAACAGCUUGCUGUUUCGCUGACGAGUGGCGGACGGGUGAGUAAUGUCUGGGAAACUGCCUGAUGGAGGGGGAUAACUACUGGAAACGGUAGCUAAUACCGCAUAACGUCGCAAGACCAAAGAGGGGGACCUUCGGGCCUCUUGCUAUCAGAUGUGCCCAGCUGGGAUUAGCUAGUAGGUGGGGUAACGGCUCACCUAGGCGACGAUCCCUAGCUGGUCUGAGAGGAUGACCAGCCACACUGGAGCUGAGACACGGUCCAGACGCCUACGGGAGGCAGCAGUGGGGAAUAUUGCACAAUGGGCGCAAGCCUGAUGCAACCAUGCCGCGUGUAUGAAGAAGGCCUUCGGGUUGUAAAGUACUUUCAGCGGGGAGGAAGGGAGUAAAGUUAAUACCUUGGCUCAUUGACGUUACCCGCAGAAGAAGCACCGGCUAACUCCGUG